Long non-coding RNA from Capsella rubella, 302 nucleotides. RefSeq lists it as uncharacterized. NCBI's taxonomy places the organism in Eukaryota, Viridiplantae, Streptophyta, Magnoliopsida, Brassicales, Brassicaceae. The record is from RefSeq and is a predicted model, not a curated record. The transcript is spliced from 3 exons.
AAGUUCACUUGUAAGAAGGAGAGGGUUAGCUUUGCUUUGAUAUUUAAGGCAAGAGAAGCAGAUUCGUCACGUUUUGGUAGAAUAGAGAUCCGACGUAUCAAAUCUUAUCGAAAGUUUGGUGAGACGCCUUUUCUCUGUUGCGAAUUGGAAUCAGCGGAGUUUGGAAGUGCGAUCGUGGUUUCAUCGCUUCUCUGAUCGGCACCAAAUUUUUUGGGGCGAUUCGUGACAUCUGGGUCUUGCUUUUCACCGAAGGGAUUACGAAGUUAACGGGCGUUGUUUGGCUGUUGCAGUCGCGAGGAGAG